Molecule: ribosomal RNA, 461 nt
Filed under: uncultured bacterium
Lineage: Bacteria
Description: bacterial SSU rRNA
Rfam family: Bacterial small subunit ribosomal RNA
Source: RNAcentral
GAUGAACGCUGGCGGCGUGCUUAACACAUGCAAGUCGAACGAAGCAUUUGCGACAGAUUUCUUCGGAUUGAAGUUGCUUAUGACUGAGUGGCGGACGGGUGAGUAACGCGUGGGUAACCUGCCUCACACAGGGGGGAUAGCAGUUGGAAACGGCUGAUAAUACCGCAUAAGCGCACAGUACCGCAUGGUACAGUGUGAAAAACUCCGGUGGUGUGAGAUGGACCCCGCGUCUGAUUAGCUUGUUGGCAGGGUAACGGCCUACCAAGGCAACGAUCAGUAGCCGACCUAAGAGGGUGACCGGCCACAUUGGGACUGAGACACGGCCCAGACUCCUACGGGAGGCAGCAGUGGGGAAUAUUGCACAAUGGGGGAAACCCUGAUGCAGCGACGCCGCGUGAGCGAAGAAGUAUUUCGGUAUGUAAAGCUCGUAUCAGCAGGGAAGAAAAUGACGGUACCUGACU